CCUACGGGAGGCAGCAGUGGGGAGUUUUCCGCAAUGGGCGAAAGCCUGACGGAGCAAUACCGCGUGAGGGAUGACGGCCUAUGGGUUGUAAACCUCUUUUUUCAGGGAGGAAUCAAUGACGUGUACCUGAAGAAUAAGCAUCGGCUAACUCCGUGCCAGCAGCCGCGGUAAU
This 172-nucleotide ribosomal RNA is filed under the name uncultured bacterium. RNAcentral describes it as "partial 16S ribosomal RNA". It matches the Rfam family "Bacterial small subunit ribosomal RNA", at positions 338 to 524 of the family's 1533-position model. The record is from RNAcentral.